AAGGACUAAGCUUUGGUAUCUUAACUGCAUCUGCCUUUGGUUAUAUGACCAGCCAUUUGUUGAGCCCACCUGUCAUACACUCGAAGACAAUACACUCAAAAACAAGUGCAGUAAGUAACUAAGUUGCGUCCGCCUUGGAGAUGUAGCAAAAGAACCACGGUUUUGCUGAAACACAUAAGUAUUGCACAUCUGAAUCAUAUACUCUACUAAUAUUGUAUGGAAUCAUAUAAUCUUUACGUGAAAUUUUGUGUGGACUUUUUUUUAAUAUUUGAUUUAAUCAUUUAGACGAACAAUAACUAUGUCAUAUUUACCUGUGUCCUAGACACACACCAAAGGACAAUGCAACACCUGCCCAGUGAAACUGGGAAAGAGAUAGUAGCAGUACUUGAUCCGGUGAUGUGGACACACCACUCUACUAAUUAAAUGGCCAUUAAUUCUGUCUGGAGCAACAACAACAAAAAUCCUUAAUCAAUGCCCGCCAAUUAUGGUUAGUAGCAAUAUACACAUGC
This 509-nucleotide long non-coding RNA is filed under the name Hordeum vulgare. Its description in RNAcentral is "long non-coding RNA (HVUL_LNC005557)". The record is from RNAcentral. Lineage: Eukaryota; Viridiplantae; Streptophyta; Magnoliopsida; Poales; Poaceae.